CCUUUAAAAAAUUCAAGCUUGACUUAUACAGCCAAUUAAGCCCUGUUGGGGAAUCUGGUCUCAUACCUUGUCCACACAGAGUCCUUGUACAAGUUUCCCGACCUGUGAAAGAAGAAAGAGCUUUAACAGACAUUUGAUAAUGAAUUGUUACUUCUUACUCAUGUUUAUAUAUAAACUCUUGACUGUCAAUGCUAUAAAAGACAAUUCAAAAGGAAGAAAUGCAGUUAUAUUGAAACACCAUUCAAAACAUCACAACAAGAAAUGCAGUCUACUAUAAACUGAGUAAAUAGAAAGAUAUACAGUAGUACUGAGGCUACUACCAGGAGAAGGCAAUAUUGGUACUGAACAAAAAAGAGUUUCUUCACACUGAAGUACAGCACAGUUGAGAAGCAUGAAAUAAAGAC
This 404-nucleotide long non-coding RNA is filed under the name Homo sapiens (human). RNAcentral's name for it is "HSALNT0327830". Lineage: Eukaryota; Metazoa; Chordata; Mammalia; Primates; Hominidae. The record is from RNAcentral.